GAUGAACGCUGGCGGCGUGCUUAACACAUGCAAGUCGAACGAAGAUGCCGGAGUGCUUGCACUUUGGCAGACUGAGUGGCGGACGGGUGAGUAACGCGUGGGUAACCUGCCUUAUACAGGGGGAUAACAGUUGGAAACGACUGCUAAUACCGCAUAAGCGCACGGUAUCGCAUGAUACAGUGUGAAAAACUCCGGUGGUAUAAGAUGGACCCGCGUCUGAUUAGCUUGUUGGUGAGGUAACGGCCCACCAAGGCGACGAUCAGUAGCCGGCCUGAGAGGGUGAACGGCCACAUUGGGACUGAGACACGGCCCAAAACUCCUACGGGAGGCAGCAGUGGGGAAUAUUGCACAAUGGGGGAAACCCUGAUGCAGCGACGCCGCGUGAGUGAUGAAGUAUUUCGGUAUGUAAAACUCUAUCAGCAGGGAAGAUAAAUGACGGUACCUGACUAAGAAGCACCGGCUAAAAUACGUG
This 472-nucleotide ribosomal RNA is filed under the name uncultured bacterium. RNAcentral's name for it is "bacterial SSU rRNA". It matches the Rfam family "Bacterial small subunit ribosomal RNA", at positions 28 to 507 of the family's 1533-position model. The record is from RNAcentral.